Molecule: ribosomal RNA, 411 nt
Filed under: bacterium enrichment culture clone ALO1_GLFRUDD03FNFT0
Lineage: Bacteria
Description: bacterial SSU rRNA
Rfam family: Bacterial small subunit ribosomal RNA
Source: RNAcentral
GAGUUUGAUCUUGGCUCAGAUUGAACGCUGGCGGCAUGCCUUACACAUGCAAGUCGAACGGCAGCACGGGAGCGUGCUCCUGGUGGCGAGUGGCGAACGGGUGAGUAAUGCAUCGGAACGUAUCCUGGAGUGGGGGAUAACGUAGCGAAAGUUACGCUAAUACCGCAUAUUCUGUGAGCAGGAAAGCGGGGGACCUUCGGGCCUCGCGCUCUUGGAGCGGCCGAUGUCGGAUUAGCUAGUUGGUGAGGUAAAGGCUCACCAAGGCGACGAUCCGUAGCAGGUCUGAGAGGAUGAUCUGCCACACUGGAACUGAGACACGGUCCAGACUCCUACGGGAGGCAGCAGUGGGAAUUUUGGACAAUGGGGGCAACCCUGAUCCAGCCAUGCCGCGUGAGUGAAGAAGGCCUUCGG